This 730-nucleotide long non-coding RNA is filed under the name Solanum tuberosum (potato). RNAcentral's name for it is "long non-coding RNA (STUB_LNC008314)". The record is from RNAcentral. Lineage: Eukaryota; Viridiplantae; Streptophyta; Magnoliopsida; Solanales; Solanaceae.
ACUAUUUUAAGUCAUUUCGUCAUAGUGCAUAAUAAAGAUAAUCAUUAAUAAAUAUGAAAUAAUUAAGAAAUAGAACUUACUGAACAUUUUCGGCAAAAUUAUGUGAAUCAUCUUCUUCAGUUAUAAAAUCCCAGAUGAUUGCAUAUAUGUUAGCACAUACUAUGUCUUCAUUGCAAUAUUUUUUAAUAGUUCGUCAAUUUAUUUUUGUAUCCAACAUAUAUUUUUCCAAAUAAUAGCAUAAAACAUCAUUCUCUAUAAUGCAAAUAACAUCUCCAAACUAAAUGUAAAAGAUAAGGCAAAAACUAAUAGAAAUUGAUAGAAAAUUAGGAAAGCAAAAUAAGUUUCCUACAUGAAAAAUACGAUAGCACAAUCUCUUAAAAUGUAAAUUUGAAAGUAAUAUGAAGUGAACAUCAGAUUUGCCUACUCUUAGCAAGAAUGUUAAUGACUUCUUCCUUCAGUUUUACCAUUGAAAAUAUAACACAUUGUACCUCGUGACAAUUUUAUUGAUAUAUUUAUAUUAAUAUUUUAAAUGGUAAUGUGUUGCUUAAAAUUGUUUUGAUUCUUUUUAAUUUUAUUUUAUGUAGCGUGAAUUCAAUUGUACAAUCUUUAUCAUUAGAAUGACUUUUUUCCCAUAAAUUGUAAAAAAAUUUCUUCUUUAAUUAAAAUAAGUCUGAAAAAUUAGUACUUGUAAAUUUAACAAAUGACAUAGUAGAUUUCCUCACAAAAGCAA